This 630-nucleotide ribosomal RNA is filed under the name Triticum aestivum (bread wheat). RNAcentral describes it as "partial small subunit ribosomal RNA". The record is from RNAcentral. Lineage: Eukaryota; Viridiplantae; Streptophyta; Magnoliopsida; Poales; Poaceae.
AUGCCACUUGCAAGUCGACCCUCAACUUGCAACUGGGUCUUCUUGUUUGAUGCCGCUUGCAAGUCGAUUGCAACUGGGUCUUUUAUUUUUUAUGCCAGUUGCAAGUGGACCAUCGAUUUUGCAAACGGGUUCCUUGUUUCAUGCCACUUGCAAGUGGACCCUCGACUUGGAACUGGGUCUUCUGUUUUCAUACCACUUGCAAGUGGACCCUUGACAUGCAAUUGGGUAUUUUUACUGGAUGCCACUUGCAAGUGGAUCUUCGACUUGCAAUUGUGUCUUCUAUUUUUUUUGAAGACACUUGUAAGUGGACUCACGACUUGCAACCGGGUUUCUUUGUUUUUCAUGCCACUUGCAAGUGGACCCUCGACUUGCAACCGCGUGUUCUUUUUUAUGCCACUUGCAAGUGGACCCUCGACUAGCACCGGGUUCCUUUGUUUUCCGUGCCACUUGCAAGUGGACCCUCGACUUGCAACCAGGUCUUCUUUUUUUGAUGCCACUUGCAAGUGGACCCUCGACUUUCAACCGAGUCUUCUGUUUUCAUGCCACUUGCAAGUGGACCCUCGACGCGCAACCGGGUUUUCUGUUUUGAUGCCAGUUGCAAGUGGAGCCUCGAGGUGCAACCAGAAUUGA